UCAGGGGUGGAAGGCAAGUCGGUAGAGCAUAUGGCUACCAACCUGAAGGUUGUGGGUUCAAUUCCCACCCUUUGCA
Molecule: non-coding RNA, 76 nt
Organism: Massospora cicadina
Lineage: Eukaryota; Fungi; Entomophthoromycota; Entomophthoromycetes; Entomophthorales; Entomophthoraceae
Source: the annotation of a GenBank genome assembly